RNAcentral lists this microRNA (24 nucleotides) under Solanum tuberosum (potato). Its description in RNAcentral is "stu-miR7979". The record is from miRBase by way of RNAcentral. Lineage: Eukaryota; Viridiplantae; Streptophyta; Magnoliopsida; Solanales; Solanaceae.
AGGUACAUGAACUCUAACGAGGCA